UUGUGCUUUGUAAUAAUCUGAUGAGCCAAUAUAAAAAAAAAGGAGAUGUGGUUUGACUGCCAAUGAGACAAGUAUCCACCAAAUUUCUGCUGAAGUGGUUGUAAGCAAUUAUAGGCAACUAUACAGCCCUCAACAAUGAGAAAAACCAAUAUAGUUGUCUAUAAAAGGCCAGACAUGAAAAAUAGGAAAUAAUAAUUCAAUUUGGAAAAUUAACAGCCUAAUAUAUAACAAAACAAUGUAUGAAAAACAAAUAUGAC
Molecule: long non-coding RNA, 257 nt
Filed under: Mytilus galloprovincialis (Mediterranean mussel)
Lineage: Eukaryota; Metazoa; Mollusca; Bivalvia; Mytilida; Mytilidae
Source: RNAcentral